AGGACGAACGCUGGCGGCGUGCUUAACACAUGCAAGUCGAGCGGAAAGGCCCUUCGGGGUACUCGAGCGGCGAACGGGUGAGUAACACGUGAGCAACCUGCCCCUGGCUCUGGGAUAGCCUCCGGAAACGGGGAUUAAUGCCGGACAUUCACUUCCUUCCGCAUGGUUGGUGGUGGAAAGUUUUUCGGCCGGGGAGGGGCUCGCGGUCUAUCAGCUUGUUGGCGGGGUAACGGCCCACCAAGGCGACGACGGAUA
RNAcentral lists this ribosomal RNA (255 nucleotides) under uncultured bacterium. RNAcentral's name for it is "partial small subunit ribosomal RNA". It matches the Rfam family "Bacterial small subunit ribosomal RNA", at positions 26 to 285 of the family's 1533-position model. The record is from RNAcentral.